GACGAACGCUGGCGGCGUGCUUAACACAUGCAAGUCGAACGCUGAAGCUUGGUGCUUGCACUGGGUGGAUGAGUGGCGAACGGGUGAGUAAUACGUGAGUAACCUGCCCUUGACUCUGGGGUAAGCCUGGGAAACUGGGUCUAAUACUGGAUACGACAUGUCACCGCAUGGUGGUGUGUGGAAAGGGUUUUACUGGUUUUGGAUGGGCUCACGGCCUAUCAGCUUGUUGGUGGGGUAAUGGCUCACCAAGGCGACGACGGGUAGCCGGCCUGAGAGGGUGACCGGCCACACUGGGACUGAGACACGGCCCAGACUCCUACGGGAGGCAGCAGUGGGGAAUAUUGCACAAUGGGCGGAAGCCUGAUGCAGCGACGCCGCGUGAGGGAUGACGGCCUUCGGGUUGUAAACCUCUUUCAGCACGGAAGAAGCGAAAGUGACGGUACGUGCAGAAGAAGCGCCGGCUAACUACGUG
RNAcentral lists this ribosomal RNA (472 nucleotides) under uncultured bacterium. Its description in RNAcentral is "partial 16S ribosomal RNA". It matches the Rfam family "Bacterial small subunit ribosomal RNA", at positions 28 to 507 of the family's 1533-position model. The record is from RNAcentral.